Gossypium arboreum is the source of this 577-nucleotide long non-coding RNA. RefSeq lists it as uncharacterized. The transcript has 2 exons. Lineage: Eukaryota; Viridiplantae; Streptophyta; Magnoliopsida; Malvales; Malvaceae. The record is from RefSeq and is a predicted model, not a curated record.
CAUAUUUUGCAAAGGGAAAGAAAAAAAAGGACAACAAUUAAAAGCAAAGAGAGGGUACAAGACAAGGCAAGGAAUAACCAUGUGAAAGUAGAGAAAAAGUACAAAAAUUAAAUGUGAUAGAGAAGCAGCAUGGCAAGGGGGAAAAUAAAAGAAGAAAAUUUGGCUUUUAAAAAGUCCAAGCUUAAGGGGGCUCAAGGGUGAGAAAAAAAACAAAGAAAGAAAGAGCUCCAAGUAAGAGAAAACCAGAGAAAACCAAAGCUGAAAGAAAAGAGAAUAGCAAGGAGCCACCACUAGAUAAGUCAAGAGAGCAAGGAGAAAACAGAGACGUUACAUGCGAAAGCCAAAGCUAAAAAGGAUCGAGAAACCUUUAGCUGAGAUGACGGUGAUUGAGGACGGUUCGCUUAGUGGGUGGAGAGUUGUAGAUAAUAUAGUAUGAGAGAUGGAGGAAGUUGGGAGACGACAGUUGGAAGAGAGAGAGCGCCCUAUCCCUCGUUCUUGAGGGAUCUUUUAAAGGGUAUCAUUGUUCCUUCUUGAGGUACCACAUGUUUUUUUUCUAUUGGCUUCAUAUUCCCUAAAA